UGCCUACGGGGGGCAGCAGUGGGGGCUUUUGGACUUUGUGGGGAACCCUGCUCCAGCGACGCCGCGUGAGUGAAGAAGUAUUUCGGUAUGUAAAUCUCUGUCAGCAGGGAAGAAAGCAAUGACGGUACCUGACCAAGAAGCCCCGGCUAACUACGUGCCAGCAGCCGCGGUAAUACGUAGGGGGCAAGCGUUAUCCGGAAUUACUGGGUGUAAAGGGAGCGUAGACGGCUGUGCAAGUCUGGAGUGAAAGGCGGGGGCCCAACCCCCGGACUGCUCUGGAAACUGUAUGGCUG
This 293-nucleotide ribosomal RNA is filed under the name uncultured bacterium. Its description in RNAcentral is "partial 16S ribosomal RNA". It matches the Rfam family "Bacterial small subunit ribosomal RNA", at positions 335 to 643 of the family's 1533-position model. The record is from RNAcentral.